UUACGUUCAUAUCAAGUGAAGACACCAGUUGCCGUCCGAUCACCGAAGUUAAGCAACGUCGAGCAUAGUAAGUAUGUAGAUGGGUGACCGCAUGUGAAUACCAGGCUUUG
Molecule: non-coding RNA, 110 nt
Organism: Acanthosepion pharaonis
Lineage: Eukaryota; Metazoa; Mollusca; Cephalopoda; Sepiida; Sepiidae
Source: the annotation of a GenBank genome assembly